CUCAUUAUAUAUAAUGAGCUGAAGCUCAUUUCAUCUCCAUUCAGCAUGCAGAACACGCUGGGCAGCUAGCCAAAAUGAGGAAGAACAUGUUGAAGAUUCCAAAACCCUUGAUUUCAUUCAAAUCCACAUAACUUUUCGCUCCGAGUUCCGAUCGUCGUACCGUUUGCGGCUACGCGUCCACGGCGUCGAGCUCUACAAAGCCCAUAACAUUAUUCAAGUUAGCUUCCGGGACUUAAUGGGCUCGAGCUAUUGAGCAUAUGGGUAUGGUGUAGAUUAAGUGGAUAUAUAUACAUUGGAAUUGAAUUGGGAGUAUUUGGAGGCUUAUUGGUGAUCAAGGCUUGGUUUGUGGCUGUUUCAAUUGAGCUUGGAGGGGCUGUGUUUUGUGUUGUGAGGCUACCUUGGGUGAAACAAAGUGAUCGGCCAAGAUGCAAGUCGAGAGGCUCCUCGCUAGGCGUCUGGAUCUUUGAAGCGAAGUAGUUCCUGGGUGUAUUUUGGAUUUCUGUUGUAUAUAUGUACAUAUGUAUCUAGCUUACUCUCCAAGUAACUUGUGUAUGCUGCUCCUCCUAGAGGUUGAGGGAGAGACAGGAAUUUGUUUUGGUAUCUUGGUGCAUUUUGGGAAUACUUAUGUAUGUUUAUAUGUAUAUAUAUAUUCCCCGGCCAGCCUUAACUUCGCAGGCUGAGUCAAGGGCUAGUUAUGCUGAUUCCUUGACUUUUCUUUA
Long non-coding RNA from Arachis ipaensis, 719 nucleotides. RefSeq lists it as uncharacterized. NCBI's taxonomy places the organism in Eukaryota, Viridiplantae, Streptophyta, Magnoliopsida, Fabales, Fabaceae. The record is from RefSeq and is a predicted model, not a curated record.